GGACUACAGGGGUUUCUAAUCCUGUUUGCUCCCCACGCUUUCGUGCCUCAGCGUCAAUACAGAUCCAGCCAGCUGCCUUCGCAAUCGAUGUUCUAUGACAUAUCUAUGCAUUUCACCGCUACAUGUCACAUUCCGCCAACCUCAAUCUGAUUCAAGCCAAACAGUAUCAAAGGCAAUCUCCCGGUUGAGCCGGAAACUUUCACCUCUGACUUAUCUGGCCGCCUACGCACCCUUUAAACCCAGUGAUUCCGGAUAACGCUUGCACCCUCCGUAUUACCGCGGCUGCUGGCACC
RNAcentral lists this unclassified non-coding RNA (293 nucleotides) under uncultured fungus. RNAcentral's name for it is "sequence contains ITS1". Lineage: Eukaryota; Fungi. The record is from RNAcentral.